CCGCUUUUAGCUCAGUGGUCGAGCGUUGGCAUAGGAAGCCACAGGUCGGUGGUUCGAACCCACCAGGGCACA
Molecule: transfer RNA, 72 nt
Organism: Phytophthora infestans T30-4
Lineage: Eukaryota; Oomycota; Peronosporomycetes; Peronosporales; Peronosporaceae
Rfam family: tRNA
About the family: Transfer RNA (tRNA) molecules are approximately 80 nucleotides in length. Their secondary structure includes four short double-helical elements and three loops (D, anti-codon, and T loops).
Source: Rfam